UUGUGAGGCUGUUGGAUGGAAGGCCUCAGUUAUAUGCUACCUGUUGGCCAGAGGCCUCCCUCAGUUCUUUGCUACACAGGCCUCUCUGGCCUCCACUACAAUAAGCAAGAAGAAACUGCCAUCUCUUUGUACACCUAAUUGUAGAAGUGAUAUUCCAUUACUUUUGCCAUGUUCUAUUAGUUAGAAGUGAAUCACUAGGUUCAGCCUACAUUCAAGAGGAAGGGAUCACACAAAGAUCUAGGAGGCAGCUACUCCUCACCUCCUGACUACGACAGCCAAGUCCAGGCUGCAGCAUCUCUUGCCUGGACUCUGCUGCAAUAGCCUUCUAUCAAGGUUCCUGCUCCUGCUUCCCUUCCCCAGUGUGUUCUACAGCCAGCCACAGCCAUCUCUUAGAAAGGUAAAUCCGCCGUGCCUCUCCUCUGCUCAAAGCCUACUUUGCUGUCUCCUUUCACUUAGAAUAAAAUCUAGUGUUGUUGCCAUGGUCCGUCAGGCUGGAAUCUGUCUAGAUACCUCUAGAUCUCUGUUCUCAUCUCUCCACUCUUCCCUUGGCUGCUUCUACCCCAGCUGCACCUGCCUCCCUGCUAAUCUUUGGGCACAGUGAGCACGAUCCCACCUCAGGG
Molecule: long non-coding RNA, 620 nt
Filed under: Homo sapiens (human)
Lineage: Eukaryota; Metazoa; Chordata; Mammalia; Primates; Hominidae
Description: HSALNT0386907
Source: RNAcentral